GAUGAACGCUGGCGGCGUGCCUAAUACAUGCAAGUCGAGCGAACGGACGAGAAGCUUGCUUCUCUGAUGUUAGCGGCGGACGGGUGAGUAACACGUGGAUAACCUACCUAUAAGACUGGGAUAACUUCGGGAAACCGGAGCUAAUACCGGAUAAUAUUUUGAACCGCAUGGUUCAAAAGUGAAAGACGGUCUUGCUGUCACUUAUAGAUGGAUCCGCGCUGCAUUAGCUAGUUGGUAAGGUAACGGCUUACCAAGGCAACGAUGCAUAGCCGACCUGAGAGGGUGAUCGGCCACACUGGAACUGAGACACGGUCCAGACUCCUACGGGAGGCAGCAGUAGGGAAUCUUCCGCAAUGGGCGAAAGCCUGACGGAGCAACGCCGCGUGAGUGAUGAAGGUCGUCGGAUCGUAAAACUCUGUUAUUAGGGAAGAACAUAUGUGUAAGUAACUGGGCACAUCUUGACGGUACCUAAUCAGAAAGCCACGGCUAACUACG
RNAcentral lists this ribosomal RNA (495 nucleotides) under uncultured bacterium. RNAcentral's name for it is "partial 16S ribosomal RNA". It matches the Rfam family "Bacterial small subunit ribosomal RNA", at positions 28 to 505 of the family's 1533-position model. The record is from RNAcentral.